AGUCGGGCGCUGCCAAUCCCGGUCGCCCGCCGGCUCAAGGGGGGCACGCGGGCACCCAGGGCACCCUUUCCGCAGCGUCCUCCCCUCCUCCCGGCGCCUCCCUGUCCCUAGGGCCUUCGGGUCCAGUGACCCGUAGUGCUGCCCGGAGUCCUCCCAGCGCCCCACCCUGACUUCCCUUCAUGCCCACCUCCCUCUCCUGUCCCCCCAGUCCAAGCAUGCGCCCGGGGCCCAGCUGGAAGAGCGCCGUGACAACCCCGGGCAUCGUACCUCACAGAGUCCCUUGGAAGAAAGCAGAGGAGAGACAUGGGUUGAAAGCAUUUGCUGUCUCCAGACCACGUGGUCAGAAGCUCUGAAACACAAAGAACAAAGAGGCGCUCUGGGUAGCUGCACAGAUUCUUCUCCAGCAGAUGAGAUGUGUUCAUCCUCCCCAAGGAUGCAGCUCUGC
Molecule: long non-coding RNA, 445 nt
Organism: Fukomys damarensis (Damara mole-rat)
Lineage: Eukaryota; Metazoa; Chordata; Mammalia; Rodentia; Bathyergidae
Exons: 3
Source: RefSeq, a predicted model, not a curated record